GAGUUUGAUCCUGGCUCAGAACGAACGCUGGCGGCGUGGUUGAUACAUGCAAGUCGAACGGGAAACGGGGCUUCGGCUCCGGAGUACAGUGGCGGACGGGUGAGUAACGUAUGAUCAAUCUGCCCUGAAGUUCGGGAUAGCCAUCCGAAAGGAUGGGUAAUACCGAAUAAGCCCAUAGGGAGGCAUCUCCCCGCGGGAAAACGAUUGGGAUCUUCGGACCUUUCGCUUCAGGAUGAGAUCAUAACCUAUCAGUUAGUUGGCGGGGUAACGGCCCACCAAGACGACGACGGGUAGCCGGCCUGAGAGGGUGGACGGCCACACUGGAACUGAGACACGGUCCAGACUCCUACGGGAGGCAGCAGUGCUGAAUUAUUCGCCAAUGCGCGAAAGCGUGACGGUGCGACGCCGCGUGCGGGACGAAGGCCUUCGGGUUGUAAACCGCUGUCAGGGAUUAGAAAACCAAUAUGGUUAACAGCUGUAUUGUUGAUCAGUCCCAAAGGAAGCACAGGCUAAUCUCGUGCCAGCAGCCGCGGUAAUACGAGAUGUGCGAGCGUUGUUCGGAAUCACUGGGCAUAAAGGGUGCGUAGGCGGCGCGUCAAGUCGGGUGUGAAAUCCCUUCGCUUAACGGAGGAACUGCACUCGAUACUAGCGCGCUAGAGGGUCAAAGGGGCAAGCGGAAUUCUAGGUGUAGCGGUGGAAUGCGUAGAUAUCUGGGAGAACGCCAAGGGCGAAGGCAGCUUGCUGGGUGACAUCUGACGCUGAGGCACGAAAGCUAGGGGAGCAAACAGGAUUAGAUACCCUGGUAGUCCUAGCCGUAAACGAUGAGCGCUUUGUUCCGGGAAGCCUGAUCUUUCCGGAGCCGUAGCAAAUGUGUUAAGCGCUCCGCCUGGGGAGUAUGGUCGCAAGGCUAAAACUCAAAUGAAUUGAC
RNAcentral lists this ribosomal RNA (928 nucleotides) under uncultured bacterium. RNAcentral describes it as "bacterial SSU rRNA". It matches the Rfam family "Bacterial small subunit ribosomal RNA", at positions 9 to 914 of the family's 1533-position model. The record is from RNAcentral.